UUCAAGUACUGCUUCACAAUAUACAGUAUAGUCAGUCCAGUAUAGUAAGUCGUGCUCAACUGCCCAAGAUGUUAUAUCUUACAUUGCAGAUAUUUCACUUUAAGUAAGAACAAGAACCAUGGGAGCAAGUGAAUCUAAACCUGACAGAAGGAUUGCCCUUACUGGGGAAACAGGACGUGGAAAAAGCAGUGCUGGAAAUACGAUUCUCAGAAAAAAAGUUAUUCCCAGUUAAAUCUUCACCCAGUUCUGAAACAGCUACAUCUGAAUCACGUGAUGGGAUGGUUGGUGGAAGAAAGAUCACAGUUAUUGACACACCUGGAAUCUUUGAUACUGAUUGUGAUGAGGAGACUAUCAAAAGAGAGAUCAUUAGUUCCAUUGUUGAUUGUGCUCUAGGUGUUGACGCUCUAGUCAUUGUUCUUAAGGUCGAAAGAUACAAAAAAAAAAAACUGUGGGUGGAGACUGUGGAUAAAAUUGUUGAGUAUCUUGGAAAAAAAAUCUUUAAACAUGCAGUGAUUUUGUUCACGCAUGGUGAAGACCUAGAAGGUCAAACCAUUGAGGAAUUUGUGAAGAAGAAUCCAAAACUACAAGACCUUAUUAAUGAAUGUGGAGGUUACUGUCAUGUUAUUGACAGUAAAUACUGGAAAAACAGAAGGAACAAAGUUCAGUUGAGAAAUCUGCUGGAUGCCAUUGAAAAAAUGAUAGAAGAAAAUGGCCCCUACAAAAAUGAGGUGCUUCAGAUUGUUAAGGAAAAUAUUGAAGAUGAGAUUGCGAAUAUAAAAGAGAGAAAAAUAUUUCUCCAGAAGAGAAAUAAGAAAAGGCAAAGAAGAAUGUUAUUCAAAAACUUUUCAUUAAGCUUGCAGGAGUGGCUACUGGGACACUGAUUGGUGCUUUUCUGGGUGUCCGAGUUGUUGUGCCUUUACUGAAAACGGGCAUAUUACAAGAAGUGGUCAGUCCCAUAACUGCAUUUGCAAUAAAAGCUACAGGUACCCGCAUUGGAGCACCAGCUGUUAUAGGAAUCACUGCAGGUUGCACAUUUGGAACUGCAGCUCUUGCAGGAGCGAUUGGAGGAGGAAUCACUGGAUACAAAGCAGCAAAAGAAGCCGAUUCUGUGGUUGAUGCCAGAAAUAAAGCAGCCAAAGCUAACUAUGAAAAUGCAGAAAAGGUUGUUGGAAAAGUAGAACAACUGAAAUUUAAUGUUCAUUAGAAGUUACACUAUAUUUAUUUGUGAAAUUGUUCUGAAUUUUCUUUUCCCUUUUUGUUUUCCUCAUGUCAACAGAGCUUAAAAGCAUAAAUAGUUUUCUUAUCUAUACAUAAUUGCACCCUUUA
Molecule: long non-coding RNA, 1326 nt
Organism: Labeo rohita (rohu)
Lineage: Eukaryota; Metazoa; Chordata; Actinopteri; Cypriniformes; Cyprinidae
Exons: 2
Source: RefSeq, a predicted model, not a curated record